GGUGCCAUAGCUCAGUUGGUAGAGCAAAGGACUGAAAAUCCUUGUGUCCCCGGUUCGAUUCCUGGUGGCACACU
This 74-nucleotide transfer RNA is filed under the name Bacteroides thetaiotaomicron. RNAcentral describes it as "tRNA-Phe". It matches the Rfam family "tRNA". Rfam says of the family: Transfer RNA (tRNA) molecules are approximately 80 nucleotides in length. Their secondary structure includes four short double-helical elements and three loops (D, anti-codon, and T loops). Lineage: Bacteria; Pseudomonadati; Bacteroidota; Bacteroidia; Bacteroidales; Bacteroidaceae. The record is from RNAcentral.